GAAUGUGAUGGUGACCUGGCCGGAACAUCUGUCACCCCACUGAUCACCAGGUUAGAUUCACCUGAUCUGGCUGAAUAGGCAAGUGUCCUCUUCUCUAUCAAUACUCCAUGUGUUUGUCUUCUCAAGCUGCAAGCUCAGCUGAAGAGGAUGACCACCCUGAUAUAGGAGGAUCAUACCUUGGUCAAGGGUAUAUGAAUAUCUGUGUUCCUCUUCUAGAACCUGCAAACAGGUUCUCAAGAUGUUCUAUGUCUGGGCCAGCCAGAUAGCGCAGUAGACUAUAGCACCUGAUUAGGCAGACGCAUGAAUCUGGGUUUGAUCC
RNAcentral lists this small nuclear RNA (319 nucleotides) under Octodon degus (degu). Its description in RNAcentral is "7SK RNA (ENSODEG00000023625.1)". It matches the Rfam family "7SK RNA". From Rfam's summary of the family: 7SK was discovered as an abundant small nuclear RNA in the mid-70s but a possible function has only recently been suggested. Two independent studies have found that 7SK RNA binds the CDK9/cyclin T complex (known as elongation factor P-TEFb). The record is from RNAcentral. Lineage: Eukaryota; Metazoa; Chordata; Mammalia; Rodentia; Octodontidae.